GGCCUAACACAUGCAAGUCGAGCGGUAACAGGAAAGUGCUUGCACUUUUGCUGACGAGCGGCGGACGGGUGAGUAAUGUCUGGGGAUCUGCCCGAGGGCGGGGGAUAACCACUGGAAACGGUGGCUAAUACCGCAUAAUGUCGCGAGACCAAAGUGGGGGACCUGAAAGGGCCUCACCCCCUCGGAUGAACCCAGAUGGGAUUAGCUAGUCGGUAGGGUAAUGGCCUACCGAGGCGACGAUCCCUAGCUGGUCUGAGAGGAUGACCAGCCACACUGGGACUGAGACACGGCCCAGACUCCUACGGGAGGCAGCAGUGGGGAAUAUUGCACAAUGGGCGCAAGCCUGAUGCAGCCAUGCCGCGUGUAUGAAGAAGGCCUUCGGGUUGUAAAGUACUUUCAGCGGGGAGGAAGGGUUUAGCCUGAACAGGGUUGAAUUUUGACGUUACCCGCAGAAGAAGCACCGGCUAAC
Molecule: ribosomal RNA, 469 nt
Filed under: Photorhabdus luminescens
Lineage: Bacteria; Pseudomonadati; Pseudomonadota; Gammaproteobacteria; Enterobacterales; Morganellaceae
Description: bacterial SSU rRNA
Rfam family: Bacterial small subunit ribosomal RNA
Source: RNAcentral